Molecule: ribosomal RNA, 253 nt
Filed under: uncultured bacterium
Lineage: Bacteria
Description: partial 16S ribosomal RNA
Rfam family: Bacterial small subunit ribosomal RNA
Source: RNAcentral
UACGAGAGGCCCAAACGUUAUUCGGAUUUACUGGGCUUAAAGAGUUUGUAGGCGGUUCGACAAGUGAGGUGUGAAAGCCCUCGGCUUAACCGAGGAAUUGCGCUUCAAACUGUCGGGCUCGAGGGAGAUAGAGGUGAGCGGAACUGAUGGUGGAGCGGUGAAAUGCGUUGAUAUCAUCAGGAACACCAGAGGCGAAGGCGGCUCACUGGGUCUCUUCUGACGCUGAGAAACGAAAGCUAGGGGAGCAAACAGG